RNAcentral lists this ribosomal RNA (356 nucleotides) under uncultured bacterium. Its description in RNAcentral is "partial 16S ribosomal RNA". It matches the Rfam family "Bacterial small subunit ribosomal RNA", at positions 338 to 691 of the family's 1533-position model. The record is from RNAcentral.
CCUACGUGGGGCAGCAGUGAGGAAUAUUGGUCAAUGGACGGAAGUCUGAACCAGCCAUGCCGCGUGCAGGAAGACGGCUCUAUGAGUUGUAAACUGCUUUUGUACAAGGGUAAACCGGAAGACGUGGAUGCAGCUGAAAGGACUGUACGAAUAAGGAUCGGCUAACUCCGUGCCAGCCGCCGCGGUAAUACGGCGGUUACAAGCGUUAUCCGGAUUUGUUGGGGUUAAAGGGUGCGUAGGCGGAGUGAUCAGUUAGAGGUGACAUGUCCGAGCUUAACUCGGGAACUGCCUCUCAUACUUUUGUUCUAUAUCGUAGAUGCGUUAUGCGGCAUUUCUGUUGUAGCGGUGACAUGCUU